CCUACGGGUGGCAGCAGUGAGGAAUAUUGGUCAAUGGUCGUAAGGCUGAACCAGCCAAGCCGCGUGAAGGACGAAGGUGCCAAGCAUUGUAAACUUCUUUUGUCAAGGGACAAAAUCAGUCUCGAGAGCCUGUCCGAGGGUACCUGAAGAAAAAGCAUCGGCUAACUCCGUGCCAGCAGCCGCGGUAAUACGGAGGAUGCGAGCGUUAUCCGGAUUUAUUGGGUUUAAAGGGUGCGUAGGCGGAAUGUUAAGUCAGCGGUAAAAGCCCGGGGCUCAACCCCGGCGAGCCGUGGAAACUGGCUGGCUUGAGAUGGCGAGAGGUAUGCGGAAUGCGCAGUGUAGCGGUGAAAUGCUUAGAUAUUGCGCAGAACUCCGAUUGCGAAGGCAGCAUACGGGAGG
Molecule: ribosomal RNA, 399 nt
Filed under: uncultured bacterium
Lineage: Bacteria
Description: partial 16S ribosomal RNA
Rfam family: Bacterial small subunit ribosomal RNA
Source: RNAcentral